AUUGAACGCUGGCGGAAUGCUUUACACAUGCAAGUCGAGCGGCAGCGCGGGGGCAACCCUGGCGGCGAGCGGCGAACGGGUGAGUAACAUAUCGGAACGUACCCAGUCGUGGGGGAUAACUAUCCGAAAGGACAGCUAAUACCGCAUACGUCCUGAGGGAGAAAGCGGGGGAUCGCAAGACCUCGCGCGAUUGGAGCGGCCGAUAUCGGAUUAGCUAGUUGGUGGGGUAAAGGCUCACCAAGGCGACGAUCCGUAGCGGGUCUGAGAGGACGACCCGCCACACUGGAACUGAGACACGGUCCAGACUCCUACGGGAGGCAGCAGUGGGGAAUUUUGGACAAUGGGCGCAAGCCUGAUCCAGCCAUGCCGCGUGCGG
Molecule: ribosomal RNA, 376 nt
Filed under: uncultured bacterium
Lineage: Bacteria
Description: bacterial SSU rRNA
Rfam family: Bacterial small subunit ribosomal RNA
Source: RNAcentral